Molecule: long non-coding RNA, 990 nt
Filed under: Brassica napus (rape)
Lineage: Eukaryota; Viridiplantae; Streptophyta; Magnoliopsida; Brassicales; Brassicaceae
Description: long non-coding RNA (BNAP_LNC026740)
Source: RNAcentral
AGAAACUUCUCUUUUUUUUUUGGCUAAGAAAAUUGAGAGUUUACUACAAUGUAGCUUUUCUAUACAAAAACAAUCCCUGGCAAAAAAAGAUUAAAAACAGGUUAUGAAUAAACCGAAGUCAAAGGGAAACAUGAUUCCACAGUGACAAGCAUACGAAGGACCUAUGACUUAUUGACUUCAAAUAAGCCAAAAGGACAUGAGGGAGUUAAAUUUCUUGCGCUUCCUCAGCACGAAGAUGGUGUUGAUCACUUGCCUAUUGAUGUCCUUGAAGGUAGUCAAAGACGGGAUCAAUGUUUGGUUGUGAAAGUUGUUGUUCCUCUGUCUCCAAAUAGAGUGGAACAGAGCUUGAGAGACUAUUGAUUUUAGCACCACCGGAGAUGAAGUUAUCAUCCACGUGACGAAUUCAGACCAGCUUGUGAACACAGGGACAUGGCAUCGCAAGACGACGAGUCUUAGACCACAGGACAGAGGCAAAGGAACAUGAGAACAUCAAGUGAUCUCGGUUUUCUUGAGCCACAUCACAGAUACAAUAAGUUAAAUUAAGGUGUAUGAAUUCCCUAGCAAGCAAGACGGUUUCUAGUUGGUAGUCUGUCCAGGUAUGUAAUCCACAUGUGGAAGGCAUGCUUAGGAGUUGCCCCACUAAACCAAACCCAUGACGGCAAGACAAGCUUGGUUCCUCUAAGACCUCCCAAUUUUUAUAAGAUGAGUAGGAUGGACUCAAACAUCAUUUUUGCACCAAGCAAAAGAGUCAGAGCCUGAGAGAGCGUUAGGAGGAGUACCUGAGAGGAAAGCGUGAAGCAAGACCUCUUCAUCAGACCGUGGGUGAGGUAGGUUCCAACCGAGAGGUUGCAAGCGUCUGCUACAGUGGCUGUGAUAGGAAGCCUCGUCCUGCGAGUUCCAUCAGUUCCAAAGACAUUGAACAAAAGAACCUCAUUUGUACGUCGCCGUUCCUCAUCUGUGUAUAUUUCUGAUAGUCGUCUUACCUCUUUU